UUUAGUGCCAGCAUUGUUAAAUCGGCUGUAUUAGAAAACUGAUCAUCUAAUUAAUGAGUCAACUUUCAACAGUUGAAUAAUUCAAUUCUUCUACAAAUAGUUUAAUGAUGGAAGCAUUUUUCUGGUCAUAUGACCACAAAUAAAAUGUUACCUAUAGUUUAUUUUCCGAAAUAUAACAAAUAUCACAACAAAUCCCUCUUUGGUACGGUGAGGUAUUCCCUCUCAGAACGAUGUGACAAAAUGAGACAAAUCAUUAGCACUGUGGACCAAUUUUCAUUUGGUUGGACAAUGGCCAACAGUCUCAGCAUUUACACCUGUGAUUUUAAUUAAUGGCAGCACUGUUAAAGCCGCUGUGUUAUAAAAUAGAUCCCCCAAUUAAUCAGAGACAACAUUUUAACAGCUCUGUGGCUUAAAGCAAAAAAAAAAAAAAAGAUCACAAACUGAAAACAAACAUACGGAGGCGAACAGGUGCUGUACCAAACUCUCAUAUUUGUCAAGACAAGAUGAUUAUGCAUGCACAAUUCACUUAGUGCACACCAAUAAAUUAAUACGAUAAAAAAUAUAAUAUGGUAGAUAGUUUGAUUUUCCAAAAGCAAACAACAACUGCAACAAAUCCCUCUCCCUAGUGUACGCUCAAGACUGCGAGACAUCACAAAUCAUUGUCCUAUUUUGGACAAUAAUUUGGACCAAACUGUCCUAUCUGUCAAGACAAGAUGUUUUUGUUUGUACAAUUCACUUCUGACAAAACAUGACAAAUCGUUGGCAUGACAAGAUAGGACAAAAAUCGCAACAAAUCCAAUCUUAGGAUGCUGAGGUCAUCCCUCCCAGGGCUGUGUGACAAAAUAAGACAAAUUAUUAGCAAUCUGGACUAAAAAGGCUUGAAUUUUCAUGAGGGGCCUCCUGUCUCUAAAACCUGGCACAGAGUUUUCGUGUAUGUCCAUUGCCAAGUUCCUAACUUGUGCACGGAGGUCUUGUGAAAGAAGGCCUGCUCAGGGAAAGUUGAAGGGGCGUGGCUCUUCUGUGCACGAGCCGCUUUUUUUUUUUUGUUUGUUUACGCGCCGAUCCUGAAUUGUAAACUCGCCUCCAGUGAAAAAGCGCGAGCUUCAUCGAGCUCAGGUCGCGUGCGCGCAUUAUAAAUGCUCAGUAUUUCUCGCAGCUUCUCAGCUCACGGGGUUCCUUCAGCUCGAGGCGAGGCUGUCAAACAAAACUACAUUUACGCACUUUAGCCCACCCCCCUAUCCCCCUCCAAAAUCCCCCCUUAAAAACCACGUACAAUCACGAAACAUCUGUCCAUGAAGCGACUGACACCACACUUGUCCAGUUUAAGAUUGGAGCCUAUGACCUGGUCACAGCCAGCCUUGAUGCACUGUCCCUGGACACAGAUAGAUGUCGUAUCGGGACCACAGGUCUGAAUGUUGCAGGACUGGUAUUUCACUCUCUGACCAACGCAGUAUGAUCCUCCAUUCUGUGGCAUUGGAUUUGUGCACUCACGUUGAGAGAACUCAACACCACCUCCACAUGUCCGAGAGCAUGGACCCCAG
Molecule: long non-coding RNA, 1541 nt
Organism: Silurus meridionalis
Lineage: Eukaryota; Metazoa; Chordata; Actinopteri; Siluriformes; Siluridae
Exons: 3
Source: RefSeq, a predicted model, not a curated record